UCACCAGACUCCUACGGGAGGCAGCAGUCGGGAAUAUUGCACAAUGGAGGAAACUCUGAUGCAGUGACACCGCGUAUAGGAAGAAGGUUUUCGGAUUGUAAACUAUUUUAGACAGGGAAGAAAAAAGACAGUACCUGUAGAAUAAGCUCCGGCUAACUACGUGCCAGCAGCCGCGGUAAUACGUAGGGGGCAAGCGUUAUCCGGAUUCACUGGGUGUAAAGGGAGCGUAGACGGCGAUGCAAGCCAGAUGUGAAAGCCCGGGGCUCAACCCCGGGACUGCAUUUGGAACUGUGUGGCUGGAGUGUCGGAGAGGCAGGCGGAAUUCCUAGUGUAGCGGUGAAAUGCGUAGAUAUUAGGAGGAACACCAGUGGCGAAGGCGGCCUGCUGGACGAUGACUGACGUUGAGGCUCGAAAGCGUGGGGAGCAAACAGGAUUAGAUACCCCUGUA
This 448-nucleotide ribosomal RNA is filed under the name uncultured bacterium. Its description in RNAcentral is "bacterial SSU rRNA". It matches the Rfam family "Bacterial small subunit ribosomal RNA", at positions 328 to 792 of the family's 1533-position model. The record is from RNAcentral.